Molecule: long non-coding RNA, 1520 nt
Filed under: Vombatus ursinus (common wombat)
Lineage: Eukaryota; Metazoa; Chordata; Mammalia; Diprotodontia; Vombatidae
Description: lncRNA (ENSVURG00010000766.1)
Source: RNAcentral
GUCCUUUUCAAUCUCAUUUUGCAGAUGAGGAAACUGAGGCAGACUGGUUUAAGUGACUUGCCCAGGGUCACAAAGCCAGUAUGUGUCUGAGGCUUCACAGGACCUCUUAAGUCUGCUGGUUUGUAGAGGGCAAACUAGAUCUUGUGCAGUGCACAUAUUAGCCACCAGAGGGUAGUGGGUAGCCAGGAAUUGUCCCUCUUGGCCCCACCCCUUCAUCCUUAUCAUGUAGUCUUACUCUCAUAGCUUCCCUAGCACUACUAGGAUGCUAGACAAAAGGCACAGCUUCUGAGGUGGGAGACUCACCACCUCUGUCUUCUAAUAGACCAGAUGUUCCAGGUCUAUGGAAGCAUGAAAGAUACCCUCAGCGGCUUGUAGUCAUUCAUUAUUUUUCCCUGAGGGGACUGAAGCAUUGAAAAUCCUAGCACACCAAGGUCCCUGAAGAACUUGGCCUUGAGUAAUGAGAACUCUGGAGAAGGCCGGAGGCCCAGCUUGGGGAUGUUAUGUAUACUAGCACGAGGAGGUGGGGCUAAAUGCUCAGCUUGAGUAUCCUUGAGACAAGAUGAAUUCCAGCCUGGACACCUGAGGGUGAGUGUGGUGCUUGGGAAAGCACAACGGAAUUGGAAGUCGAGGUCCUGGGCUCAAACCCCAACUCCACCCUUAACGACCUCUGUGACGAUAAGUCACUUCUCUCAUUUCCUCAACAGCAGCGUAAAGAUAAUGAAUGCUCACCUCCUCUGACCCUUCAUAAGGAAUGCAGUUUACAAAAUGCUGAAGAGGGAGUUCCCGACUGCCUCAGUGUGGGGAAGUCCCACUACCAAUGCAGUCCAACAACUCAGCUGGGCCUGGCAGGUGAGAGGGAGGAAUGCUGUCCAUCUGGCCACGCAGGAGCACCUGGAGUUCUUCCACUCCCCAAGACCUGACUCUGCUCUCUGCCAACACACAAGACAAGAAAUCAAUAAGAACAUCUGUUUCCCCCAUGUCAGCUCAGAAGGAAACAAGUCCAGAGCAGGACUUCACAAAUCCCAGGGUCUGGAAGACCAUAGGGUAAUUGGCUCUCUUGCUUAAAUUAUAUUCGAUGCCAACAAACGGUCCCAUUUCUGUGUACCUCUUACACCGUGUAUCAUCACCCCCAAUUUACAGAGGAGGAAACUGAGCUGAAUCAAAAGGACUUAACACAGGUGGUGUCAAAGGGUCUCCUAGCUCCAAGCCCAGCAUUCUUUUCUCUCUCUUCCAUGUCCUCUCUGAUCCAGGGACGCUGGUCUCUUACUAACUGUUUUGCCAUGCCCAAAAUUCACUUCAGCCCUUCCCAGUCCUCAAUGUAGGGCCUUCUGAGAUGAUCUCCCACUGAUCCUGUAUACACCUGCAUACAUCUUGUUUGUACAUGGCUGUUGACAUGAGGUCUCCCCCAUUAAUUAGACUGAACUUUUUGAGGACAGGGACUCCUUUUGCCUUUCUUUUCUAACUCCAGUAUUUUGUUUGGCACAUAGUAGGCACUUAAUAAAUUAUUGUUUACUUGAGCA